Molecule: ribosomal RNA, 495 nt
Filed under: uncultured bacterium
Lineage: Bacteria
Description: partial 16S ribosomal RNA
Rfam family: Bacterial small subunit ribosomal RNA
Source: RNAcentral
GACGAACGCUGGCGGCGUGCCUAAUACAUGCAAGUAGAACGCUGAAGGAGGAGCUUGCUUCUCUGGAUGAGUUGCGAACGGGUGAGUAACGCGUAGGUAACCUGCCUGGUAGCGGGGGAUAACUAUUGGAAUCGAUAGCUAAUACCGCAUAAUAGCAGUUAUUGCAUGAUAACUGUUUGAAAGGUGCAAUUGCACCACUACCAGAUGGACCUGCGUUGUAUUAGCUAGUUGGUGGGGUAACGGCUCACCAAGGCGACGAUACAUAGCCGACCUGAGAGGGUGAUCGGCCACACUGGGACUGAGACACGGCCCAGACUCCUACGGGAGGCAGCAGUAGUGAAUCUUCGGCAAUGGACGGAAGUCUGACCGAGCAACGCCGCGUGAGUGAAGAAGGUUUUCGGAUCGUAAAGCUCUGUUGUAAGAGAAGAACGAGUGUGAGAGUGGAAAGUUCACACUGUGACGGUAUCUUACCAGAAAGAGACGGCUAACUACGUG